UCCUACCAAGCCCACGAUCCGCCUCCCAUCUCUCUCCUCCCAUCUCCCUCCUCAAUCACCAUCCGCCUCCGGCGCCGCUGCGCAUCUACAUCACCCACCCCGGGAAUGACCACCGCACAAUAGCCCUCCGCGCCAUGCCCCUGCCCGUUCCCACCUCCCGCCUCCUCGCCGCCAUCUCCGCUGCCGCGUCCUCAACUGCAGACCUCCGUCGCCUCUCCCACCUCCUCCUCACCCCCUACACCCCACUCCCCCCGCUCCGCUGCCUCAAUACCCUCCUCAUGGCGCUCGCCCGCCACCGCAUGCUCCCGGACAUGGAGUCCUUCGCAUCCCGCAUGCCCGCGCGCAACCUUCGCACGUACACCACCCUUAUCAAUGCCUACUGCCUCGCCGGCGACCUCCCUGCUGCCAAGCGGCAUCUUGCCUCCCUACUCCGCGCUGGUCUUGUGCCUGACUCUCAUGCGUAUACCUCAUUUGUUCUUGGAUACUGUCGUGCCGGGAUGCUUGCGCACGCCUGCCGGGUGUUCGUGCUAAUGCCGCUCCGAGGAUGCGCGCGCACUGUGUUCACGUACACUGCGCUGCUCCAUGGGCUGUGUGGCGCCGGUAUGGUGCGUGAGGCUGUGGCAGUGUUUGCUGGGAUGCGGGCAGAUGGGUGCACCCCUGACACGCAUGUGUAUGCCACGAUGGUGCAUGGACUGUGUGGGGCGGGGCGAACUGGUGAGGCAGAGGUUCUUCUCGCGGAGGCAAUGGCUGAGGGUUUUGAGCCGAAUGUGGUCGUCUACAAUGCGCUGAUUGAUGGCUACUGCAAUGCUGGGGACCUGGAGCUCGCGGUUAAAGUUUUUGAGAGCAUGAAUGUUAAGGGGUGUUCAGCGAACGUGCGAACGUACACUGAGCUGAUAUGUGGGUUCUGCAAAUCUAGCAAGGUGGACAGAGCCAUGGUGCUGUUCAGUCGGAUGGUUGAGGCUGGUUUGGCACCAAAUGUGGUGACAUACACAGCCUUAAUUCAGGGGCAGUGCAAUUGUGGGCAGUUGAAAUGUGCUUUUAGGAUGCUCCAGUCAAUGGAGGCCACUGGGCUAGUUCCUAGUGAGUGGACUUGCUCGGUGUUGAUUGAUGCUCUGUGCAAACGUGGAAGAGUUGGGGAAGCUCAGUUGUUUCUUGGAUCUCUUAUACAGAAAGGAUACAGGGUGAAUGAGAUUGUCUACACCAGCUUGAUUGAUGGAUUGUGCAAGGCAGGAAAGGUUGAUGCUGCUGACAAGUUGAUGCAGAAAUUGGUUUCGCAGGGGUUUGUGCUAGACGCUCACACAUACAGUUCACUAAUUGAUGGAUUAUGCAGGCAAAAGGAGUUGUCACAAGCGAUGCUGGUGUUGGAUGAUAUGAUGGUGAAAGGAGUACAACCCAGUGCUGUCACGUAUACCAUUCUAAUUGAUGAACUUGUUAGGGAGCUAGGAUCUGAAGGUUCAAAGAAGAUACUUAAUAAGAUGAUUGCGGUAGGAAUUAAGCCUGAUGUUUUCACCUACACAAUAUUUGUUCGCUCCUACUGUCAUGAGGGAAGGAUGAAAGAUGCUGAACAUAUGAUGGUUGAAAUGGUUGAUCAGGGCAUUUUCCCUAAUUUAGUGACAUAUAACACUUUGAUUAGUGGGUAUGCAAAUUUAGGACUAGCCAGUCAAGCAUUUUCAGUUUUCAAGCACAUGGUUGCUAAUAGGUGCAAGCCAAAUGAGGAGUCCUACACGGUUCUGCUUAGAUUAUUGGUAAAGAAAAAAUCCUCUAAUAAUAUCCUUGCCAGCUCUGUUGACAUAUGGAAAAUAGCAGAAGUAGAAUAUCUCCAGGAGCUUUUGGAGGAGGUGGUUAAGCUUCAUUUGCUCUCAGACAUUGAAAUUUAUAAUUGUUUCCUUAGGUCUUUAUGUCGAGUUGAUAGAUUGGAGGAAACCAAAAUUUUGCUCAGUGAGAUGCAGAGUGCUAACUUGAUCCCUGGUGAGGAUGUAUAUACUUCAAUUAUAGGGUGUUGUUGCAGACUAAAAAUGCCAACAGAAGCGUUGACAUUUCUUGAUUCAAUGACCAAGAGUGGUUAUUUACCACGUAUAGAGUCGUAUAGGCAUAUUAUUUGUUCUCUUUGUGAGGAGGGAAGUAUUAAGACCGCUAAAAAGGUUUUGGGUGACAUGUUAUUGGAGGAAUACAACUACGAUGAGAUUGUUUGGAAGAUUCUGAUUGAUGGUCUAUUGCGGAAGGGCAAUGCUGCUGAGUGCUCGCUUCUGCUCUCAGUGAUGGAGGGGCAGGAUUAUCGCCCUAGUGAUGCAUUGUAUGCCAAGCUUACAGAUGGCAAGGCCGUUGUUGUAAGAGGAAGAAAGAAGGAUCAGGGAUAUUUAAUUACCUGCUCGAAGAGAUAUAUAAAACACCGAAGUUGAAUUCUUUGCUGAGUUGAUUGCUCUAACUUGGUGAAAUUACUAGUUUUUAAUGGUAAAGAACAUGAAUAUUGACAAUUAUCUAAGUAUGUUCCGGACAGCUCCUCGAAGAAUACUUGAAUGGUAAAUAGGAUAGUCAAAUUCUGGAAAAUGCCAUGGAUUCAACUCAUUGCUAAUGCACCGAGUCAGCUUCUGUAUAUAUAUGCCGGUUCAUAAUACCGGCAGUGACCUCGAUAGGGUGUUACGGAUAACUGGAAGGUCAAAAGGGAGUCACACGAGGCAGUUACCCAGGUUCAGGCCCUCAAGGUGGAGGCACAUGAAGGAAAGACGCUAGUUCAACAACCAAGGCGCAAAUGGUCAAGUCCACCCGCUGGAAUCCUAAAGAUCAACACUGAUGCAACUUUCCAUGGAAACUCAAACGAUGGAGGCCGUGGCUUUGUGGCUUUGUUAUUAGAAAUGAUAAAGGUGAAACUCUAGUUGCACGUGCAGGCAAACUAGAAUGGGUGGCUGAUACUUUCUAAUCUGAAGCUAUGGCCAAAUGGGGUUGUAACAAAGUAAUGCUAAAGACAGACUCAGUUCAGUUAAAGAAGGUUAUAUGUAGUGAAGAAUAUGAUCUGUCUGCACUUGGGACCAUGUUUAAAGAGAUUAAGUAUCAGCUUCAUGUAGGGUUUUCUGAAGCGUGUGUUGUAAAUUGCCCCAGAGCAUAUAAUCUCGUGGCACAUAGGUUAGCAGCGUUCAGUGCCAGUUUAAACUUUGAUGAGUGUGUUACUUGGUUGGGGCAUCUCCCAGAGUUUGUACUGAACUUUGUAGCUGGCGACCUGCCUAGCAAUGAUAUGUAGGAGGAAUGCAA
Molecule: RNA transcript, 3246 nt
Organism: Hordeum vulgare subsp. vulgare (domesticated barley)
Lineage: Eukaryota; Viridiplantae; Streptophyta; Magnoliopsida; Poales; Poaceae
Gene name: pentatricopeptide repeat-containing protein At5g65560
Exons: 5
Source: RefSeq, a predicted model, not a curated record